This 459-nucleotide ribosomal RNA is filed under the name uncultured organism. RNAcentral's name for it is "partial 16S ribosomal RNA". It matches the Rfam family "Bacterial small subunit ribosomal RNA", at positions 329 to 797 of the family's 1533-position model. The record is from RNAcentral.
ACGUACACUCCUGCGGGAGGCAGCAGUGGGGAAUAUUGCACAAUGGGCGCAAGCCUGAUGCAGCGACGCCGCGUGGGGGAUGAAGGCCUUCGGGUUGUAAACUCCUUUCGCUAGGGACGAAGCUUUUUUGUGACGGUACCUAGAUAAGAAGCACCGGCUAACUACGUGCCAGCAGCCGCGGUAAUACGUAGGGUGCGAGCGUUGUCCGGAAUUACUGGGCGUAAAGGGCUCGUAGGUGGUUUGUCGCGUCGUCUGUGAAAUUCUGGGGCUUAACUCCGGGCGUGCAGGCGAUACGGGCAUAACUUGAGUGCUGUAGGGGUAACUGGAAUUCCUGGUGUAGCGGUGAAAUGCGCAGAUAUCAGGAGGAACACCGAUGGCGAAGGCAGGUUACUGGGCAGUUACUGACGCUGAGGAGCGAAAGCAUGGGUAGCGAACAGGAUUAGAAACCCCAGUAGUCCC